UUCGAAAGGACAGUACUACUGCACUGCAGCUGAAGAAGGAAAAUAAUUUAAAAAAAUGAGCUUUUCAUGCAGUGCUCACCUGUCUUCCUUCAAAGCACCGUGCUCAAAAGGGGGAACGAUAGAAGCACUGGCUUAGAAUUCUUCUCCUAUGAAAGACAUUAGGUCAUCAUUGGUCUGACUGUGACACACCUACUUCAUGCUUUGGUCAUUGGUCUGUCUUUUGAGGAGGAUUCUAUUGAGGAAGAUUAUCAUCUAUGUGUGCAAUUGUGGCUACAAAGUCAGAAAAUGUCUUUCUCUCUUUGCUGUCAUGCUAGAACAUGAGCCCUCAGAAAACAAAAAUAUCUGCACUUCAAUGCUGAGUCCCCACAGUAAACUGCUCAAAUCUACCAGCAGCAUUCCAGUACUUACAGGAAAGGAACUCUACAGGAUGGUGGCAUAGCCAUGGAAAUAGGAACCAAGUAUAUCUGAAAUGUAUCCU
Molecule: long non-coding RNA, 478 nt
Filed under: Vulpes vulpes (red fox)
Lineage: Eukaryota; Metazoa; Chordata; Mammalia; Carnivora; Canidae
Description: lncRNA (ENSVVUG00000007649.1)
Source: RNAcentral